GACGGUUUAGCUGAUUGGUCUAAAGCGCUAGAUUUAGGCUCUGAUUCGAAAGGGUAUGGGUUCAAAUCCCACAUCUGUUA
This 80-nucleotide transfer RNA is filed under the name Ipomoea nil (Japanese morning glory). It matches the Rfam family "tRNA". Rfam says of the family: Transfer RNA (tRNA) molecules are approximately 80 nucleotides in length. Their secondary structure includes four short double-helical elements and three loops (D, anti-codon, and T loops). The record is from Rfam by way of RNAcentral. Lineage: Eukaryota; Viridiplantae; Streptophyta; Magnoliopsida; Solanales; Convolvulaceae.